This 545-nucleotide long non-coding RNA is filed under the name Helianthus annuus (common sunflower). Lineage: Eukaryota; Viridiplantae; Streptophyta; Magnoliopsida; Asterales; Asteraceae. The record is from RNAcentral.
UAUCGACACCAUAUGGGAUUUAAACUCCCAACCUUUUGGUUCUCGACCACGCUAUUAUUAUGACGUUGAAUGCCAAGUUAAUCAUAAUCUACCGGAUGCAAUGAAUAUCAAAUCCUGGUCUUCUUUCAAAACGCAAAAACCCGUUAGGGCAAUGGCGAAAGAGAGCAUGGCGCCCCCUUUGGCGCCUGGGAAAUGGUCUAGGGGCGCUAUGGCGCCAAAGGAGCUGAGGUGACAGGAGCGGUAUACCACAUUCACCGGUCUAACAACCAGGACGUCAACUAUACGAAAUUUUGGGUAGUUUCUUUGGAAUCUGCACCUCCUUUUAAUCACCUUUUCCACAUAUCAACCGAAUCCACACAUAGAAAUGGAUUCCACUUUUGUUGUCAUCACAUUUCCUAUAAAUUCGUCUCCUUUGUGGGUCAGAAAAAUUAACAACCUAAUUCAUGGAUCCCUCACAAGUGAUGUUGAAUUGCGACGGUUUGUUCGACUGCAAUGUUGGUGUCACUAAAAAGAUCAUCAUUGAUACGGAUCCCGGCAUAGAAUGA